UACGUAGGGGGCAAGCGUUGUCCGGAAUUAUUGGGCGUAAAGAGCGUGUAGGCGGUCCGGUAAGUCAGCUGUGAAAGUCAAGGGCUCAACCCUUGAAUGCCGGUUGAUACUGUCGGGCUAGAGUCCGGAAGAGGCGAGUGGAAUUCCCGGUGUAGCGGUGAAAUGCACAGAUAUCGGGAGGAACACCAAUGGCGAAGGCAGCUCGCUGGGACGGUACUGACGCUGAGACGCGAAAGCGUGGGGAGCAAACAGG
Molecule: ribosomal RNA, 253 nt
Filed under: uncultured bacterium
Lineage: Bacteria
Description: partial 16S ribosomal RNA
Rfam family: Bacterial small subunit ribosomal RNA
Source: RNAcentral